GUGUCAGCAGCCGCGGUAACACGUAGGGGACGAGCGUUGUCCGGAUUUAUUGGGCGUAAAGCGCGCGUAGGCGGCCAUGCAAGUCGGGUGUGAAAUCCCGGGGCUCAACUCCGGGACUGCAUCCGAUACUGCACGGCUCGAGGUAGGUAGGGGAGAUCGGAAUUCCUGGUGUAGCGGUGAAAUGCGCAGAUAUCAGGAGGAACACCGGUGGCGAAGGCGGAUCUCUGGGCCUUACCUGACGCUGAUGCGCGAAAGCUAGGGGAGCGAACAGGAUUAGAAACCCCUGUAGUCC
RNAcentral lists this ribosomal RNA (292 nucleotides) under uncultured bacterium. RNAcentral's name for it is "partial 16S ribosomal RNA". It matches the Rfam family "Bacterial small subunit ribosomal RNA", at positions 505 to 796 of the family's 1533-position model. The record is from RNAcentral.